UACGUAGGGAGCAAGCGUUGUCCGGAAUCAUUGGGCGUAAAGCGCGCGUAGGUGGCCUCAUAAGUCCGCUGUGAAAGUCAAAGGCUCAACCUUUGAAAGCCGGUGGAUACUGUGGGGCUAGAGUACGGAAGAGGCGAGUGGAAUUCCUGGUGUAGCGGUGGAAUGCGCAGAUAUCAGGAGGAACACCAAUAGCGAAGGCAGCUCGCUGGGACGAUACUGACGCUAAGGCGCGAAAGCGUGGGGAGCGAACAGG
This 253-nucleotide ribosomal RNA is filed under the name uncultured bacterium. Its description in RNAcentral is "partial 16S ribosomal RNA". It matches the Rfam family "Bacterial small subunit ribosomal RNA", at positions 524 to 776 of the family's 1533-position model. The record is from RNAcentral.